GACGAACGCUGGCGGCGUGCUUAACACAUGCAAGUCGAACGGAAAGGCCCUGCUUUUGUGGGGUGCUCGAGUGGCGAACGGGUGAGUAACACGUGAGUAACCUGCCCUUGACGUUGGGAUAACUUCAUGAAACUGGGGCUAAUACCGGAUAGGAGCUCCUGCUGCUUGGUGGGGGUUGGAAAGUUUCGGCGGUUGGGGAUGGACUCGCGGCUUAUCAGCUUGUUGGUGGGGUAGUGGCUUACCAAGGCUUUGACGGGUAGCCGGCCUGAGAGGGUGACCGGCCACAUUGGGACUGAGAUACGGCCCAGACUCCUACGGGAGGCAGCAGUGGGGAAUAUUGCACAAUGGGCGGAAGCCUGAUGCAGCAACGCCGCGUGCGGGAUGACGGCCUUCGGGUUGUAAACCGCUUUCGCCUGUGACGAAGCGUGAGUGACGGUAAUGGGUAAAGAAGCACCGGCUAACUACGUG
RNAcentral lists this ribosomal RNA (468 nucleotides) under uncultured bacterium. RNAcentral describes it as "partial 16S ribosomal RNA". It matches the Rfam family "Bacterial small subunit ribosomal RNA", at positions 28 to 507 of the family's 1533-position model. The record is from RNAcentral.